AUACAGAAUACCCUGCCAGGGUUAUUACACCUUACUGUCAUUUAUACAGACCCUGCUGCGGUCCACUGGCAUUAUUUACACUACAACAGAUACCCUGUUGGGGUACCCCAUAUCACACACCCUGCUGGGGUUGUUUUGAUACUUUGAGACAAUAAAUUGCACACUACUACACCCUGCUGGGGUCUGCAUGGUGCAUUGCACACAAUGAAAUGGAUUGUGCUCUCAUCCAGUCUGUUUUAUUUGGCCACGACCCACGCUUGACGGGUACAUACCCCGCGCACCUGAGGUGAUCUCUGACUAGGUAUAAGCCAAUCUAUUCGGCUAAAGAGGGGACAGAGUCGCAAGCUUCAGUGCAGAAUAUCCCCCAUGGCGGUGCAUUAAUUAUUGGAAGAGCUGUAGGACACUCUCUAUCAGGCUUAUGGCCAGCACUGAUGGGUUCAUACCCAAUGCAACCGGGGUGAGUUCCCUACAGCACUGCUGCUUCUACUCCUACCCCUAUCAACAGCGAGCUCGAGGAUUGAAAACCCAAACAUUGGAACCGGGGCCCGGCACUUACAGGUUCAGACCCGGUGCUCUCGGGGUGAGACCCCUUCGAUGGGGGAGUCACAUACCCGACCGAAGGAAGUCUUACGGCAACAGCCUCUACCUACAG
Pelobates cultripes (western spadefoot toad) is the source of this 652-nucleotide non-coding RNA. Lineage: Eukaryota; Metazoa; Chordata; Amphibia; Anura; Pelobatidae. The record is from the annotation of a GenBank genome assembly.